GUCUUUUGCCCAUUUCUUCACUGGAUUAUUUGUUUUUUGGCACAUUGGGCUCAGAAGACUUCAAGAAGAAGACAUCUACUGAAAAACUCUCACCUAGAAGAUAAUCUGGAAAUAUUUGUCUAGAUACAUUGACACCUAUAGGAGCCAGCGUGGAAUGCUCAGCACCUACCUUGCUAACAACUUGCCUUGCCCCUGCAUUCUGCUGUACUGCCUCACUCCACAGGAGUUCCUCCAAAGUGGAUCCACAAGGGUCUCAUUGCACAAACAGCCUCAACAGGGGCCAAUACCACUCCAAAGUGACUCUUGCCCUGGGGGAAGGAGAAGAUGACCACACACAGCAGUUCAAGGGCAGCCCCAGCAGGGUGCUGUGGGCACACAUCCAAUCUGACUGCCCCACCAACCAACAGAAACCUCAUAGGGGCAGCACAAAGAGAGUCCAGUAGUUCAGGGUCACUGCAGCCCCAGCAGAAGGCUGGAGUAGACGUCUCUCACUGCUGACCCUGCCCACCAACGAAAGCCUCUUGGGGACAACAUAGGGAGAGCCCUGUAGUUCAGUAUAACCACGGUUCCAGCAAAUGGGCUAAGGCAAGGAUCCAGCUGACCCAACUCAAGCCCAGACUGGCUCCUUAACAGCACAGGGACCAAACCCUGAUGACCAUGGGCAAAGAGGGCCAUUGCAGCCAACUGGACUGAAGGCACAUGUGGCUCAACCGCAACAGUGGGGCACAUGCAACACACGUAGGAGACACCUCUGAAGCACCAGGUUCUAGUGAAGAGAAAACCAAAAGCCCAGAGAGAAGAAUCUUGAAAUUAAAAAUACACUAGAGUAAAUAAAUAGUAGACUGGAGGAAGCAGAAGAACAGAGAAGCAAGCUAGAAGACAGUAAUGGAGAGCAACCAACCUGAACAGGAAAAAGAAAAAAAAAA
Long non-coding RNA from Lynx canadensis (Canada lynx), 926 nucleotides. RefSeq lists it as uncharacterized. The record is from RefSeq and is a predicted model, not a curated record. The transcript has 3 exons. Lineage: Eukaryota; Metazoa; Chordata; Mammalia; Carnivora; Felidae.